Molecule: Y RNA, 101 nt
Filed under: Propithecus coquereli (Coquerel's sifaka)
Lineage: Eukaryota; Metazoa; Chordata; Mammalia; Primates; Indriidae
Description: Y RNA (ENSPCOG00000005811.1)
Rfam family: Y RNA
About the family: Y RNAs are components of the Ro ribonucleoprotein particle (Ro RNP), in association with Ro60 and La proteins.
Source: Rfam by way of RNAcentral
GGUUGGUCUGAGUGCAGUGGUGUUUACAGCUAAUUGAUCACAACCAGUUACAGAUUCCUUUGUUCCUUCUCCACUCCGACUGCUUCACUUGACCAGCAGAA